GUGAAGCCCCCCUCAAGAUGAGAUAUCCCAUCCGAAAGGAGUAAACCCCCUUGAAGACGACGAGGUUGAUAGGGCAGGGGUGGAAGUACGGUAACGUAUAGAGCUGACUGCUACUAAUAGGGUGAGGGCUUGACCAA
RNAcentral lists this ribosomal RNA (137 nucleotides) under Blautia sp. BIOML-A1. RNAcentral describes it as "partial 23S ribosomal RNA". It matches the Rfam family "Bacterial large subunit ribosomal RNA", at positions 2787 to 2925 of the family's 2925-position model. The record is from RNAcentral. Lineage: Bacteria; Bacillati; Bacillota; Clostridia; Lachnospirales; Lachnospiraceae.